This 460-nucleotide ribosomal RNA is filed under the name uncultured bacterium. RNAcentral's name for it is "partial 16S ribosomal RNA". It matches the Rfam family "Bacterial small subunit ribosomal RNA", at positions 338 to 795 of the family's 1533-position model. The record is from RNAcentral.
CCUACGGGUGGCAGCAGUGAGGAAUAUUGGUCAAUGGCCGAGAGGCUGAACCAGCCAAGUCGCGUGAGGGAAGACGGCCCUACGGGUUGUAAACCUCUUUUGUCGGGGAGCAAAGCGAGUCACGUGUGACUCAUUGAGAGUACCCGAAGAAAAAGCAUCGGCUAACUACGUGCCAGCAGCCGCGGUAAUACGUAGGAGGCGAGCGUUAUCCGGAAUGACUGGGCGUAAAGGGUGCGUAGGUGGUUUGGCAAGUUAGUAGCGUAACUCCAAGGCUCAACCUUGGAACUACUACUAAAACUGUUGGACGUGAGUGCAGGAGGGGCAACCGGAAUUCCUAGUGUAGCGGUGGAAUGCGUAGAUAUUAGGAGGAACACCAGUGGCGAAGGCGGGUUGCUAGACUGUAACUGACACUGAGGCACGAAAGCGUGGGGAGCAAACAGGAUUAGAUACCCCUGUAGUC